Molecule: long non-coding RNA, 1461 nt
Filed under: Lynx pardinus (Iberian lynx)
Lineage: Eukaryota; Metazoa; Chordata; Mammalia; Carnivora; Felidae
Source: RNAcentral
GCAGGAGGUAAGGACCGGAGCCCCGCCUUGCCCCGCUCCGGGCGGCCGCUCCCCGGUUUCCUGCAAGACGGCAGUUCCCAUGGGGGCUGCAGGUCCCGACCCGGCCCUGGCCGCAGACUGCGGGUGGGUCCCGGCAAUGACGUGUAGAGACCACGGUCGGGGCUCCGCAGGUGCUCGUUGUUCCUGGAUUGGACGUCGUUUCUCGUCUUUACAGUUGCUCUGGGGUUUUGAGCUUGGGAUCGCAGGGGAUCUGUCGGUUGGUGGAAACUUAAACCGGAUAUAGAGGCCGUCACGAAGAUUGUUGAGAGAGACACAGAAUAACGCUGCCUGAAAAAGUGAGUAGAGAUGGGCAUAGGGACCUGAGGGCUGCAGGUGCUGGGUCCAGCAGUUCCUGAAGCCUUGCCUCAUUGCUCCUUCUGCCUAAUGCACUUCAGCUCAUAAGGCAGAAUGUUUUUCCUUCAAGUGAUACAAACCAGAAACCAGUGUAAGAGCAAAGAAGGAAGUUUUAUGGCAUGUCGGAUGGCUUCAGGCACGGCUAGAUCCAGCAGUCUGGAAGUAUCAUUACGGAUCUCUCUCUCUCCAUGUCUCAGCUCAUCUGAGAGCCGUCCCUGCUCUUCGGUGAGCUCUCUCUGAGCAGUGGCGUGUGGAAACUCUGGGUUAACGUUCCAGCAGCCCUUGAAGGAAAACCGUCUUCUUCCCCAGUCAUUGCAGGAAACGUCGUGAGGCCUGUUGUCUUUGGCCUGCUGCGGAAGUGGAGCGGAGGCAGGCACUCCUCAGAGGACGUGAGCCGGAGCUGGGGCGGGGAGGACCCCCAAAAGGGAAUAGCCAGGAUUCUGAGAGCCCGGGAGGUGGGAGAUAAGCGAAAAGUGCCCUCCUUUCUCACAUCCUGCUGGUCCUCUGCCGGGGCCUCCAGGGCUCCCUGUGAUAGUUGUGUCUGGCCCUUGGCGGAAACGGGACUCCUUUUCUUGCCUUUAUUGCUGUGGCAUUCAUACAGUUAACCGUUUUAUUUUUAUUAUUAUUAUUUUUUUAAUGUUUAUUUUUGAGAGAGGCAGAGACAGAAUGCGAGUGGGUCAGGGGCAGAGAGAGGGAGACACGGAAUCGGAAGCAGGCUCCGGGCCCUGAGCUGUCAGCACAGAGCCCGACGUGGGGCUCGAACCCACGAACCGUGAGAUCGUGACCUGAGCCGAAGUCGGAGGCUCAACCGACCGAGCCCCCCAGGUGCCCCACAUACAGUUAACCAUUUUAAACUGAAUUAUUUUGGUGGCAUCGAGUGCGUUCACGAAGUUGGGCAACCACUCCCUCUGUCUAGUUGCAGACAGAUUUCAUCGCCUCCAGAAGAAGCUCCGUUCCGUCCCCAUCAGCUGUCACCCCCCCUUCCCAGCCCCCGGCCGCCACGAGCCCCCUUCCUGUCCGUGGAUGAGCACGUUGUGGAUAUUUCACAUAAACUGAGUUUCACCCCGU